This 503-nucleotide ribosomal RNA is filed under the name uncultured bacterium. RNAcentral's name for it is "partial 16S ribosomal RNA". It matches the Rfam family "Bacterial small subunit ribosomal RNA", at positions 30 to 523 of the family's 1533-position model. The record is from RNAcentral.
AUUGAACGCUGGUGGCAGGCUUAACACAUGCAAGUCGAGCGGGGUGAUGGUGCUUGCACUAUCACUUAGCGGCGGACGGGUGAGUAAUGCUUAGGAAUCUGCCUAUUAGUGGGGGACAACAUCUCGGAAGGGAUGCUAAUACCGCAUACGUCCUACGGGAGAAAGCAGGGGAUCACUUGUGACCUUGCGCUAAUAGAUGAGCCUAAGUCGGAUUAGCUAGUUGGUGGGGUAAAGGCCUACCAAGGCGACGGACUGUAGCGGGUCUGAGAGGAUGAACCGCCACACUGGGACUGAGACACGGCCCAGACUCCUACGGGAGGCAGCAGUGGGGGAAUAUGGACAAUGGGGGGAACCCUGAUCCAGCCAUGCCGCGUGUGUGAAGAAGGCCUUAUGGUUGUAAAGCACUUUAAGCGAGGAGGAGGCUCUUUUGGUUAAUACCCAAGAUGAGUGGACGUUACUCGCAGAAUAAGCACCGGCUAACUCUGUGCCAGCAGCCGCAGUAA